GGCUGCCGGUGGGGGUGAGCAAUGGGGAGACUGGUGGAGACCCCCACAUCGAUACCCAGACCUGGAAGAGGAAAAGUAGCCGCCGAGGUGAGCGUUUUGAGUUCCCAGCAGUGGAGGAUGAUGUGAUCUACGAUGAUGUCCCCUGUGAAACCCUCGAUGCUGAGCAGGAUGGCCCGGGGACGGAGCAGAACCUGAUCUACGAGGAGGUGCAGCGUGGUGAGGGGCCACGGGCGGGCGAGGAUUUGGGCUGGAGCUCCAGUGAGUUCGAGAGCUACAGCGAGGACUCGGGGGAGGAAACCAAGCCAGAGGCCGAGCCAGCCAAGCAGCGGGCAUCCUUCCAG
Molecule: long non-coding RNA, 341 nt
Organism: Calidris pugnax (ruff)
Lineage: Eukaryota; Metazoa; Chordata; Aves; Charadriiformes; Scolopacidae
Exons: 3
Source: RefSeq, a predicted model, not a curated record